GGAGCCGUGCCUGAAACUCAAGGGCCACUUUGAUAGAGUGAAACAUGGGGGUUAAAAUCCCCCCGCCUCCU
This 71-nucleotide transfer RNA is filed under the name Assurger anzac (razorback scabbardfish). Its description in RNAcentral is "tRNA-Ile". It matches the Rfam family "tRNA". Rfam says of the family: Transfer RNA (tRNA) molecules are approximately 80 nucleotides in length. Their secondary structure includes four short double-helical elements and three loops (D, anti-codon, and T loops). Further hydrogen bonds mediate the characteristic L-shaped molecular structure. tRNAs have two regions of fundamental functional importance: the anti-codon, which is responsible for specific mRNA codon recognition, and the 3' end, to which the tRNAs corresponding amino acid is attached (by aminoacyl-tRNA synthetases). tRNAs cope with the degeneracy of the genetic code in two manners: having more than one tRNA (with a specific anti-codon) for a particular amino acid; and 'wobble' base-pairing, i.e. permitting non-standard base-pairing at the 3rd anti-codon position. The record is from RNAcentral. Lineage: Eukaryota; Metazoa; Chordata; Actinopteri; Scombriformes; Trichiuridae.